CCCAUGUGGGGCUCACAGUCUUCAUCCCCAUUUUACAGAUGAGAUCACUGAGGCCCAGAGAAGUGAAGUGACUUGCCCAAAAUGACACAGCUCAUAAGUGGAGGGGGCGGGAUUAGAACCCAUGAUGUCUGACUCCCAAGCCCGUGCUCUGUCCACUGAGCCACGUUGCAUCCUUUCAUUCAUUCAUUCAGUUGUUUUUAUUGAGUGCUUACCGUGUGCAGAGCACUGAACUAAGCGCUUGGGAGAGUACAGUAUAACAAUACACAGAUUCGCUGCCCACAACAAGCUUACAGUCUAUCUCUUCUCGCCUACACCGUCUCGCUGCUGUUUCUCUGUUGGUGUUUGAUUCCCGGCCCCAGUCGUAGAAAUGGAUGCCAACAAGGGGCUUUCGCUGAUGGAGCUGAGCCCGCCCCACCCCUGGGAGGUACACCCGCGGACCCCUGAAACCCUGGCCUUCGGAGAGGUGCAGCUACCCGACCCCGAGGAGGCCCGCGGACGGGAGGCCGGACAUCCCCAUUUAGGAGGGGGAGACGGAGAAGCCGACGCUGUGGUACCUCGACCGGAGCGGCGUGCCGCUGACUGACGUCCGGGUGGUGUCAUUUGGGAUCCGGCAGCAGAUGACCGAGCCCACAAGGAUUUCCAGCCUUGGCCCGGCAGCUACGACUACUCGGUGGACUUCCUGGAUCGGUCCUUCCCGUCAGAGAGGCCCAGCCGGGACCACCCCUACGUCGAAGUGAGCAACGGCCCAGGCAGGAUGCCCCGUCCGGCUCGUGGUCAGGUGCUGCCACGGGCUUGAGCUCCCUCUCC
RNAcentral lists this long non-coding RNA (807 nucleotides) under Ornithorhynchus anatinus (platypus). Its description in RNAcentral is "lncRNA (ENSOANG00000037380.1)". Lineage: Eukaryota; Metazoa; Chordata; Mammalia; Monotremata; Ornithorhynchidae. The record is from RNAcentral.